This 800-nucleotide ribosomal RNA is filed under the name uncultured bacterium. RNAcentral's name for it is "bacterial SSU rRNA". It matches the Rfam family "Bacterial small subunit ribosomal RNA", at positions 8 to 821 of the family's 1533-position model. The record is from RNAcentral.
AGAGUUUGAUCAUGGCUCAGAAUGAACGUUGGCGGCGUGGAUUAGGCAUGCAAGUCGCGCGAUAAAAGUAGCAAUACUUGGACAGCGGCGAAAGGGAGAGUAAUACAUAGGUACGUACCCUUGGGACUGGGAUAGCGGCGGGAAACUGCCGGUAAUACCAGAUGACGUUUCCGAACCAAAGGUGUGAAUCCGCCUGAGGAGCGGCCUAUGUCCUAUUAGCUUGUUGGCGAGGUAACGGCUCACCAAGGCAAAGAUGGGUAUGGGGUGUGAGAGCAUGCCCCCACUCACUGGGACUGAGACACUGCCCAGACACCUACGGGUGGCUGCAGUCGAGAAUCUUCGGCAAUGGACGCAAGUCUGACCGAGCGACGCCGCGUGCGGGAUGAAGGCCUUCGGGUUGUAAACCGCUGUCGUAGGGGAGGAAAUUCCGGAGGGUACUCCCUCCGGAUUGACUGAUCCUAGGAGGAAGGACCGGCUAAUCUCGUGCCAGCAGCCGCGGUAAUACGAGAGGUCCAAACGUUAUUCGGAAUCACUGGGCUUACAGAGUUCGUAGGCGGUUCUAAAAGUGGGGUGUGAAAGCCCUCGGCUCAACCGAGGAACUGCGCUCCAAACUGUAGAACUAGAGGAAGAUAGAGGUGAGCGGAACUGAUGGUGGAGCGGCGAAAUGCGUUGAUAUCAUCAGGAACACCGGAGGCGAAGGCGGCUCACUGGGUCUUUUCUGACGCUGAGGAACGAAAGCUAGGGGAGCAAACGGGAUUAGAUACCCCGGUAGUCCUAGCCGUAAACGAUGAGCACUGGAC